CUCCGCCAGUGCCAAAACAAACACACUAAACUGUCACUGUCCUCUGUCCAGUCUACACUUUCACAUUCCUCUAUCAGUUGGUGUGAUGGCGUGGCAUGUAGGAUGUCCGGUAAACAGGAUGUUGGCACUAUGCAUAGCUUUUUUAGAUGUACGGAUAACAGGACGUUGGCACUAAAAGGGUUAUACAUUUAAAGGUGCUUAGGAGUAGGAACAGCUGACAAUCAAGAUGCAUGCUGAAUUGGAGGAAACAGUUGAGAUGUCAGCAGUUGGAGGCAAGUCAGCUGUGUAUGAAGUCAACUCACAAUUGCGGGAGUCUUCUUUCUGGCCUCAGAUACUUGCUUGUUUAUCAGCAGCAUCUCUACAUUUUGCAGUAGGGGCAGUUGUAGGAUUCUCCUACAUAGUGAUUCCAUAUCUUGAAUCUCCAAAAUCAGAUAUAAGAGUGACUGAAGAAGACAUGUCUUGGCUAGGUAGUGUGGUAGCACUGAUGUUGCCAGCGGGGUCCAUGGUAGCGGGGUGUAUCAUAGACAAGAUCGGACGUCUCAACACCAUCAGGGUUGCCAUCUUGCCCUAUGUAACAGGCUGGUUUUGUAUAGCAGUGGCGACUGGUGUUCCCUUUCUCGUGGUUGGCAGGAUCCUCACUGUCUUCUCUAUGGGUUUAGCUUGUAUCCCAGCUGUGGUAUAUAUCACAGAAGUUGCCAAACCAGACCACAGAGGAGCCCUCAUUUGUACAUCACCUUUUCUGGCAUCUUUGGGUAUUCUUGUGAUGUAUGCUAAAGCAGCUUUCAUUUACUGGAGAACCAUCUGCUGGAUAUCCAUCUCCUACUGUGUCCUGCCUCUCCUGCUGAUGUACUGGUGGUCUCCAGAGAGUCCUGUCUGGCUGGUGUCUCAGGGCAAGACUGAACUAGCACUCACAUCUCUGAAAUUCCUCCAGAGGAGUGAUAGCAAGUUUCAGGGAGGUGUAGCCGAGCAGAGACUGUCAACUUUACUUGAGGAACAUAACAAAGCAACUCAGUCUGAUAUCAGGAGGUCAACCUUUGGCCAUCUUCUGUCCCAUUUCACUAAACCAACUGGAUACAAACCAGUCCUACUUCUUACUGUGAUCUUCACUCUCCAGGGACUUUCUGGGAUUUACAUCGUACUGUAUUGUACUGCAACUUUCUUUAAGAAUAUAGGUACCCCUAUAAACCCCUACAUCUGUACAGUUGGUGUAGGAGUGGUGAAAGUGGUGCUGGGAAUAGUCACCAUAAUUCUGCUGAGGAAGUUUGGUCGCCGACCACUAUUCAUGCUGAGCUGUGCCACGAUGGCCUUAUCCAUCUUCACUUGUGGAUACUACACCAAGCAGAUAGCUGAAGGACAUGUGGAAAAAUAUUGGAAUCCAAUGAUGUGUAUUUUGGUUUUCACAAGUGCUGGUGUUGUCGGGUUCAUGAGUAUUCCAUACUCUAUGUCAGCUGAACUGUUCCCUGUAGAACUGCGAGGAUUGGCCCAAAGCCUCCUUGCUAUUAUUGCAAACUUGGUCUUAUUUGUUGCCCUUAAGAUUUAUCCUUUCCUCAGUGAAUUUCUUGGAGAAUAUGGAGUUCAGUGGUUCUUUGCUGCAGUUUCCUUUGGUUCUAUAAUUUUCAUCUACAUUUUCCUCCCAGAAACUCAUAGAAAAGAGCUGCCAGAAAUGCAAGAAUAUUUUACAAACAAUACGGCUUUCCCAAUGGAGUAUGAUACACUGAGAAAAUUUUAUGGGAUAGAAGAAGCUGUGACAGCUUUGUGAUAGAGAAUGGCAUACUGGAAGGAUUUCUUCAUAGUAUUACAAAAGGCUGCUAUCAGAUUGCACUAUCACUAAGUGAUUCAGUAUUACAGUGGUAAUUUUUACAGUCUACGAGUACCAAGGUAUGUUGUUUAUUUGAUAUAAACAUUUAAAACUCUAAUUUAAUUUAUAAUGCACAAAAAGUGUGGUGCUAUGUAUUUCACCAUUAUUUUAGUUUAUGAAUGAAUUUUAAAUCAUUUCUUGGUAUUGUAGACAUUAAGUAAAGGAGUAAAAUAGUGAUACGCAAUUGUCGUACACUCCUAUUAAUUGUCUUGAUUGUUGGAAACUCUCGAGACUUCAGUGGAAUAUUUCACAACUUAAAUGUCUUGUUUCUAUUCAGAUUGGAGUAGGGCUUCUUUAUGUUUAACUUGUUAAGAACUUUUUUUUACACAUUGAGUGCGGCGAGCAGGAAAUCCUGUGCUCAGAACAGUCAUAUCGGUGUGGUAUGCAGGAUUUCUCGCACUUUAACCCACCUACCACUAUUGUAUCAGUUGCCAGCUAGCAUUGCUUGGCAAAAAUUGUGCGGUUUGUAGGAUUGAAAGCCAUCCAACAGAAAAUUCCUGGCAAGAUGUGACAGUUCCAGGACUUAAAGUGUUCAUAGGUAUUGUGCUUCAUAAGGGAACAAUUAGAAUCUGUCAGAACCAGAACUACUGGAAAAGAUCACGAAUAUUUGAUCUCAAAUGCUUCAAAGAACAAUGUGGAAUGUGAUGGUGAUAAAGCAGAGGGUAGGCUAAACAAAGUGGAAAUGCCAGUUGAGUAUUUCAACCAGAAAAUUGAUGAUGUUUAUUACCCAUGUAAGGAACUUUUUCUUGACAAGGGAUUGAUGCUGUGAAUACUAUAUUUUGGUGUUUCGGCAGUACAUAAAGGGAAAACGCCAUAAACAUGGAAUUAAAUUGUACUCUCUCAAUGUGAGUCUCAGGGACUAGUUUCUUGAUUUGUUGUAUACUCUGACAGUCAAGAGGAUUUAGGGGGCAAAUAUCACACUACCAAUGUAGUAAUAUAUCUGAUGAGAGGAGGACUGAAGACACCUUAUACAUGGACAACUUAUUCUCUUGCUUCUAAACUGCUGUUCAACAAAACCUACCAAACUGGCACCUCAGACUGAAUAGGAGACAUUCCAGAUGUAAAACUGGCAAAACUGAAAAAAAUGGAAACAAUUGCACGAUAUGCUGAAGGUGUCAUGGUGGCCAAAUGGAGGGCUAAAACAUUGUGUCAUACAUCUUUACGAAACUUGACGACAACAUGGUCUUCACAACGAAUUGUGUGUAGAGAAAAACCCUUGGCUAUUGCGCAAAUUAGCAUGAAAGGGGUUGCUGUCCUACCACCCUAGUGAUCACAAAUCAAUAUUUUGGUCUAAGAAGAUUUUUAUUCAUCUUCUUCAGAUGGUCAAGCUUACUAAAACAUUCCAUGUGUACGCCAACAGUACAUCGUGGAUAUUGUUAGGCAGUUCUUUGCCUAUGUAGAUCCAGAAGCUCCAGCAGUCACUACAGCGAUGGUCACCAGUAUCUGGGUUAAAGAAAAGGUUAUAAUAAAACAACACAACUUGGCUCUUUAAUUGAUUAAACAUCAUACUUUAGUUAAAUGUGAAAGUAUAUAAAUAUUUAACUUUGUAAUGACAUAAAACAAUGUAUUUUAGUAAAUAAUUAAACAAAUCCAAAAGAAAUUAUUCCAGAACAAUUAUUUAAUUGAGAAAUCAUUAUAACACUAUUGAAACAAGCUUUUUAUUAGUCCUAAUAAGACACACCAAAUUUUAAACAUGAGAGAGCACUCUACGUUUUUAAAUAACAAUUAUUUACAUUUUUUCAAUCAUUUUCAAUGUACUAAUUAUACAUUUAAAUAUAAAGAGGUGUUUAAAAAAUCCUACAAGUAAAAUAUGUACAUGCGCAAGGGUUUAUUUGUUACUAGAAUGAAUCAAAUUAAAUUUGGUCAUAAUAAAGCAAAAUUAGUCAUUUUGAGUAAUGUACAAUUAGUAAUACUACUGAAAAAUAACUAGGCAUCAAAUAACUUUCACCUUUUGUCUUAGUCAUUGCCAGCGUCUUUAUAUUUUAUAUAUUCAAUAGUACAUCCAUUUUCUAAAUAAAAAAGAAUACUAACAAUCACAAAUUUUAUAUAUGUACAGUAUUAACUCAUAUGCAUAUAAAGACUUUUUCAAUAAAAUGAUGCGUGAAAAAUUAUGUUGCACACGGAAGUUAUUCAAUGCCUAGGACUACGGAAGGGCACAAACAGAGGCUACUUCCAGCUCACAACAUUAUCUUGACUCAGACUAAUGUAAAGGUACAGUUGGCAGUGGGGGUGACUGAUUCUAGUUCUUAGAAAGAGGCUCACAGAAUAUGCCAGGCUGCCAACACACAGAAAGUAACUUUUUUAAAGAAAAACAAAACAACCUGGAGGUAACCUCUGUGAUGGGCCCUCUCUAGAUUUAAGGUAGGAGUUAAUUUUUUGUUUUAAGCUGCAUACACAGUAGAGUAGAGUGAAUAGACAAAUAUUACUAUUCACUUCACUAUAUUUUAAUCAAUUCUUUUGUGAAAAUGACAAUCUGAUUGGUUUUUCAGUAUCAAACUUUUUAGCUUUUAACUUGUUUUUAUACAAAAAGGUGCUUCUUUGUUUAGUUUAAAUAUGACACGAGAAUGUUAUGGAAAUAAUAAAGUACUAAUACUGAAUUUGAUAGAUGGAUUAGAUAGGACUGAUAAUAAUACUGAUGAUUUAUGGAAUAUAUAAUGUGAUUUCCUAAUAAUUGCCAUUCUCAUCCGACUUAUGUACUGAUAGUGUAUACUCCGGGUAAAGGAUGAUUACUUAACAGCCCUAUGACAAGGGGAGACUGAGGGACAAACAGUUUAAUGUGGGUCCUGAACAAACUACUUAUAAGUCUGAUAUUAUUAUAAAUAUGAACACAUAACUUAAUUAAUGUUCUGUAUUCAACCAGAACAUACUCAAUUCUCAAAAAGUGCCUGUUCAUCUAAAACAGGAUAACAUGAUAGUAUUGUAGUGAAGCAUGGAACAAAUUAUUACAACUUUAUGUUAAAUAGAAAUCUACUUUGUUUAAUCACCUUGUUCAGUUAAUUUUUGUUUUUUAUAGUUUUCCUUAAGUUUGUUGUAACUCCUAACAUUGUUUAUAAAAUAAGAUACAUGCAGUUGCAACACUCAUUAUUGUUCUUACAAUCAACUGUCAGUAACUAAUAGUUUUUAAACAUUUUGUAAAAAUAAUAUUUUUAUUCCAGCCUGAAAGGAUAAAGCAAAAUAUUUCAAAUUUAUUGUAUUAUUAACCAAGGAUCUGGCACACCUUAUAUUGGUUUUUUGUUGUGUUAUAAAUAGCUGUGCUCAGUAUCGUGUCUAACAUAGUUUUUUCAUGUGUAGUUUAUAUAUUUAAAAUAUAAUAAAAUAGCAUCGCUACUAGCGAAUAGAGGAAUGUUUAGUUUACAAUUAUUUGUUUUACGUUUAUACUCAGCAGAAUAUUUGUUUAUUGAGUUUUAAAAUACCUUGUGAAGUUACUAAAAUAUAAAUUAGUAUUCAAUUCAAUUUAGAAAUAGGAAAGGUCAUGAUGAUUGGUAUUAAUAUAAAUUGGUAUAAGUAUAGUAAAAAUGUAAAAAUAUAUUUUCAAAUUAAUGAAUUUUUUUAAACUAAUAUGUCAGGUUCAUUUAGAAUUUAUUAUGGACCAAUUGUGUGAUAUGAUAAUCUUAUGGGGGGUGAAGAUUUACAUUUAUGACAAGCUGUGAUUUUGUAAAUCUGUGCAUGUUCUCUUCAUUUUCCACAGCAGUAGGCC
This 5555-nucleotide unclassified non-coding RNA is filed under the name Homalodisca vitripennis (glassy-winged sharpshooter). RNAcentral describes it as "facilitated trehalose transporter Tret1-like, transcript variant X6". Lineage: Eukaryota; Metazoa; Arthropoda; Insecta; Hemiptera; Cicadellidae. The record is from RNAcentral.